AACUCUCAACCUUAAAAGGCUUUUUGUCCUUUGAGGCUUGGAUGUGGAGGCUUUUGCCGGCUCUGUCCCAGAGCCAGCUCCUCUUAAAAACAUUAGUGGAAACUGUUUGCAGCCUCCCCAACAUUGGUGUGAUAAUUAUCAGCGCCAUUGUGGCUACAAGCUCUUUUUUGUAGUGUUCGUUUGGAAAGCUGCACUUUUUGUGCUCUUUCUGUUUACUUGACCUACAGCAGAGCAAUAGUAUCUGCUUCAAACUGUCUUGCUUUUUUAAAGCAACACUUGAUCA
RNAcentral lists this unclassified non-coding RNA (283 nucleotides) under uncultured Marasmius. RNAcentral's name for it is "sequence contains ITS2". The record is from RNAcentral. Lineage: Eukaryota; Fungi; Basidiomycota; Agaricomycetes; Agaricales; Tricholomataceae.